Molecule: unclassified non-coding RNA, 294 nt
Filed under: uncultured fungus
Lineage: Eukaryota; Fungi
Description: partial contains 5.8S ribosomal RNA, internal transcribed spacer 2, and large subunit ribosomal RNA
Rfam family: 5.8S ribosomal RNA (bases 1-52)
Source: RNAcentral
AACGCACCUUGCGCCUUUUGGUAUUCCGAAAGGCAUGCCUGUUUGAGUGUCAUUAAAUCAUCAACCUCGUCUUGUGCGAGGCUUGGAGCUGAGGGUUUGCUGGUGCUUCGUGCAUCGGCUCCCUUCAAAUGCAUGAGCGGGACCGUGCGGAUCGGCUUUGGUUUGAUAAGACCGUCUAUGCCAUCGCCGAGGAGCCUUUGGUCCUGCUUCUAGCCGUCCCUCUGGGGACUGUCUCUGUCGAGGCAUGACUUUGACCUUGACCUCAAAUCAGGUAGGACUACCCGCUGAACUUAA